Long non-coding RNA from Xenia sp. Carnegie-2017, 665 nucleotides. RefSeq lists it as uncharacterized. NCBI's taxonomy places the organism in Eukaryota, Metazoa, Cnidaria, Anthozoa, Malacalcyonacea, Xeniidae. The transcript is spliced from 3 exons. The record is from RefSeq and is a predicted model, not a curated record.
AUGUGUAGUGUAAGAGGGUCUCCCAUGGAUCGUUUACUGCUAAUAUUUGGAAAAUUUAUGCUCUCUUCUUUGUUCUUGUUCUUUCGACAUCAAAGAGUGCUUUUAUGAUGGGAUUGUCUCUUGAAAUUCCUGACGGUUGUGGUGACAAUACAGUUCUUCAAGAAAAAUCUUUAUACUCUCACUCCUCCUACAUGAAAUCUAAAGCCUUUGGACCGGAACGAAGUCAAACCGAAAUGAAAAUCAGAAUUUUUUGCAUGAACAUGGGACCGGCACGAAAUCACGAAAAAUCUUCAUUCGCGUAAUGCCUCCUUUGCAGAUUUUUGAAGACGGGGGAAACAAGAAGUUUGGAAGUAAUAAUGCUUGAUUAAGCAAUAAAAUCAUACAGCAACAACCUGUUAACUCAAGUGAGGAAAAUUCGAACCACGUUAUGAUAGUGCUAAAAUAUUGUAGAAACCUUUGCCAGUUCUUUCUCUCUAAAGAUUACAAAAAUGAGCUUCAGAUCAGGGAUGGAUUAAUUGGAAGGGGAGAGGAAUAGGUUUACUGGGGGGGAGGGUAAAGGGGGUUGGUGUAACCUUGGUUACAGGGUCACAUGAUAACAAAACAAUUAAAUAAUAUAAGCUCAUCAUUAAUUUCAAAAUAUUUGUCCAUGUAAAUUUUGCAAAUUA